This 251-nucleotide ribosomal RNA is filed under the name uncultured prokaryote. Its description in RNAcentral is "partial 16S rRNA". It matches the Rfam family "Bacterial small subunit ribosomal RNA", at positions 525 to 775 of the family's 1533-position model. The record is from RNAcentral.
ACGGAGGAUGCAAGCGUUAUCCGGAUUUAUUGGGUUUAAAGGGUGCGCAGGCGGAAUGAUAAGUCAGUGGUGAAAGCUUUCGGCUUAACCGGAAAAUUGCCAUUGAUACUAUUGUUCUUGAGUACAGUUGAGGUAGGCGGAAUGUGUAAUGUAGAGGUGAAAUGCGUAGAUAUUAGCCAGAACACCGGUGGCGAAGGCGGCUCACUGGAACGGUACUGACGCUGAGGCGCGAAAGCGUGGGGAGCAAACAG